RNAcentral lists this ribosomal RNA (531 nucleotides) under uncultured bacterium. RNAcentral describes it as "bacterial SSU rRNA". It matches the Rfam family "Bacterial small subunit ribosomal RNA", at positions 15 to 518 of the family's 1533-position model. The record is from RNAcentral.
GAUCCUGGCUUAGGACGAACGCUGGCGGCGUGCCUAAUACAUGCAAGUCGAACGGCUUUUCUAUGGAAGCUUGCUUCCACUGAGAAGAUAGUGGCGAACGGGUGAGUAACACGUGGGUAACCUGCCCAUAAGAGGGGGGAUAACAUCCGGAAACGGGUGCUAAUACCGCAUAGUUUUCUUGAUCGCAUGAUCGGGAAAGGAAAGACGGCCUUUGUGCUGUCGCUUAUGGAUGGACCCGCGGCGUAUUAGUUAGUUGGUGAGGUAACGGCUCACCAAGACGAUGAUACGUAGCCGACCUGAGAGGGUGAUCGGCCACAUUGGGACUGAGACACGGCCCAAACUCCUACGGGAGGCAGCAGUAGGGAAUCUUCCGCAAUGGACGAAAGUCUGACGGAGCAACGCCGCGUGAGUGAAAGAAGGUUUUCGGAUCGUAAAACUCUGUUGUCAGAGAAGAACAAGUUGGAGAGUAACUGCUCCAGCCUUGACGGUAUCUGACCAGAAAGCCACGGCUAACUACGUGCCAGCCGCCGC